This is a long non-coding RNA of Entelurus aequoreus (snake pipefish), 600 nucleotides long. RefSeq lists it as uncharacterized. The transcript is spliced from 2 exons. NCBI's taxonomy places the organism in Eukaryota, Metazoa, Chordata, Actinopteri, Syngnathiformes, Syngnathidae. The record is from RefSeq and is a predicted model, not a curated record.
UUGCUUCCAUGCAACAGUUUACGUCGAUUACCCUUUGGAUCCCUGAGCUAAGCUUUGCCUUAUGUGUUUCCUAGUUAGCUAUUCCGUUAGCUCCCCGUGCUAUAGGCAUUCCCUGUGCAAUCGUCACGCUGUUCAAGUGUUUGUUUGUUUGUUCCUGCCUGAUUUAUGAACAUUAAAUAUUUUCGUUACCUGCACACUGCAUCCGGAGUUCAGUCUGCAUCUUGGGAGAACAAUCCACGCAUCACCAUGCAACCUCGACGUGACACCUCUGCUCAAAAGACCUAACCUCGAUAUUGACCUCCUGCUAAACUACCUACUUCCUGAUUGCUUGUACACCGCCGCCAUUGGAAUAUACGCGCUGAAAUGGACCAAAAGGAAUCGCCUGACCCUCAUGAAUUCAUCAUUUACCGAGAGGACGACUUUUUGACUGUUGGCUUGACUUUUUAUGAACAAUUGAGUACACUUUAUUUUUUAAUUCAUUUAGUUUUUUAUAUUAUUACUUUGUAUUUCAUGCACUUUUUCGGAAAAAAACUCCGACCCAAUAUUGUCUGUUUAUUUACAUGGUAUCAGUGUAGAAAUAUAGUAAACCACUCCUCCAUA